GAAAUCGGUAGACGCUACGGACUUAAUUUGAUUGGGCCUUGGUCAAGAAAUUGACUAAGUGAUUGUUUCCAGAUUCGGGGAAACCUAGGUUGGAGAAAAACAUAAUAGGUAAUCCUGAGCCAAAUUUUGUUUACGAAAUACGAAAUAGGUGCAGAGACUCAAAGGGAACUAUCCGAUUGAAGAAACUAUAAUAUUUGAAGAUAGAUAUAAAUACCAUUAUUUAAUAAGUUAUUAUUAUAAAUCGUAUUAGAUAAGGAUAAAGAUAGAGUCCGUUUUUACAUGCUACAUUCAAUUAGCAACGAUGUAAAUCAUCG
Molecule: non-coding RNA, 314 nt
Filed under: Gymnomitrion concinnatum
Lineage: Eukaryota; Viridiplantae; Streptophyta; Jungermanniopsida; Jungermanniales; Gymnomitriaceae
Description: partial tRNA-Leu
Rfam family: Group I catalytic intron (bases 15-293)
About the family: Group I catalytic introns are large self-splicing ribozymes. They catalyse their own excision from mRNA, tRNA and rRNA precursors in a wide range of organisms. The core secondary structure consists of 9 paired regions (P1-P9).
Source: RNAcentral